RNAcentral lists this ribosomal RNA (216 nucleotides) under uncultured bacterium. RNAcentral describes it as "partial 16S ribosomal RNA". It matches the Rfam family "Bacterial small subunit ribosomal RNA", at positions 1286 to 1500 of the family's 1533-position model. The record is from RNAcentral.
UCCCAGUUCGGAUUGUAGUCUGCAACCCGACUACAUGAAGCUGGAAUCGCUAGUAAUCGCGGAUCAGAAUGCCGCGGUGAAUACGUUCCCGGGUCUUGUACACACCGCCCGUCACACCAUGGGAGUCGGAAAUGCCCGAAGUCUGUGACCCAACCUACGGGGAGGGAGCAGCCGAAGGCAGGUCGGAUGACUGGGGUGAAGUCGUAACAAGGUAAC